Non-coding RNA from Poecilia reticulata (guppy), 809 nucleotides. NCBI's taxonomy places the organism in Eukaryota, Metazoa, Chordata, Actinopteri, Cyprinodontiformes, Poeciliidae. The record is from RefSeq and is a predicted model, not a curated record.
UCUACAUUUGUCAGUGCCACGGCGCUUUUUUGCUCGGGGUAAUUAUGUGACAUUGUCUCACAAGGCUGCCUGGAGAUAUUCCUGCUGCAGGAAAGGAAGCGAGCAGGCCUGACAGCCCAGGGCAGGCAGCCAUGACAUCAGAUUUCUUCCUCUGCAUAAGCAGCAUUAAGAGGAGAGGGAGGCUGUUUCCAGCUGAAGAAUCGCCGAUAUGAGUCUGUAUCACCCUAAAAAAGAUGUUUUUACUAAAACUUUUCAAUGUUUUUCAGUAGCUAGAGCAACAUUCGUAUUAGAUUUAAAAUAUUGUCACCAAUAAACACAAUUAAAGGCAGAAUUGCAUUUAAUUCUACCGUUACACCCUUUUCCAACAGCCACUAGGUUUUGUUCAGUGUUGCAGGAAGAUAUAUUCUGAAUGUGUCUGUAGGCCAUUGCUGUGCAAACAGACCCAAAACAAGCAUGCACAUGCAAACAAUGUCACAUUAGGUCAAUUCAAAGUCAACAACAAACACAUCAUGCAUCGUGGCAGCAGAGAACAAGCCGCAGAAACGCAGACAUGCAGAGUGGGAACGUGAAAGCUCGCAACUGAAUGAUGCAGUGCCAGUGGCUGCACCUCUUGUUUGCGUUGGUUGUGGAUAGUCUGAUUACCUCGAUUUACUUUUUUAAUCUUUGUUUGAAUAUCAGGUUCACUGGGUCGUUUUGCAAGCUUUUUGGCUUUUUUUUUUUUGUCACUGUUUGACUUGUACUCUGUGAGAGACACAGUGUGUUGUUUUGUGCUUCACACUAUUAGCAUUAGAGUUAUUUUGAUAGCUUUA